GGGCCGAUAGCUCAAUGGGCAGAGCAGCGGACUUUUAAUCCGUAGACCAGAGUUCGAACCUCUGUCGGCCCA
This 72-nucleotide transfer RNA is filed under the name Pseudomonadota bacterium. RNAcentral describes it as "tRNA-Lys". It matches the Rfam family "tRNA". From Rfam's summary of the family: Transfer RNA (tRNA) molecules are approximately 80 nucleotides in length. Their secondary structure includes four short double-helical elements and three loops (D, anti-codon, and T loops). Further hydrogen bonds mediate the characteristic L-shaped molecular structure. tRNAs have two regions of fundamental functional importance: the anti-codon, which is responsible for specific mRNA codon recognition, and the 3' end, to which the tRNAs corresponding amino acid is attached (by aminoacyl-tRNA synthetases). tRNAs cope with the degeneracy of the genetic code in two manners: having more than one tRNA (with a specific anti-codon) for a particular amino acid; and 'wobble' base-pairing, i.e. permitting non-standard base-pairing at the 3rd anti-codon position. RNAcentral also lists the same sequence under 1 other name. The record is from RNAcentral. Lineage: Bacteria; Pseudomonadati; Pseudomonadota.